GAGGAAUAUUGGUCAAUGGACGCAAGUCUGAACCAGCCACGUCGCGUGAAGGAAGACGGCCCUACGGGUUGUAAACUUCUUUUAUACGGGAAUAAAGUGCCCCACGUGUGGGGUUUUGCAUGUACCGUAUGAAUAAGGAUCGGCUAACUCCGUGCCAGCAGCCGCGGUAAUACGGAGGAUCCGAGCGUUAUCCGGAUUUAUUGGGUUUAAAGGGUGCUCAGGCGGGGGGUUAAGUCGGCGGUGAAAUUUUGCAGCUCAACUGUAAAAGUGCCUUCGAAACUGGGAGUCUUGAGUAUGGAUGAAGUAGGCGGAAUUCGUUGUGUAGCGGUGACAUGCAUAGAUAUAACGAGGAACUCCGAUUGCGUAGGCAGCUUACUAAGCCAUAACUGACGCUCAUGCACGAAAGCGUGGGGAUCAAACA
RNAcentral lists this ribosomal RNA (421 nucleotides) under uncultured Porphyromonadaceae bacterium. RNAcentral's name for it is "bacterial SSU rRNA". It matches the Rfam family "Bacterial small subunit ribosomal RNA", at positions 356 to 774 of the family's 1533-position model. Lineage: Bacteria; Pseudomonadati; Bacteroidota; Bacteroidia; Bacteroidales; Porphyromonadaceae. The record is from RNAcentral.